GUGAUUGCUUAGGCAGCACAAAUCCUACAACUGCAACGGCACGGAGAUCAGCAGGGCCCCUGCUCAAGAAUGACAUGCACAUUCGUAAAAGGAUUGUCAAGUAUUU
This is a small nuclear RNA of Suricata suricatta (meerkat), 106 nucleotides long. The record is from Ensembl. Lineage: Eukaryota; Metazoa; Chordata; Mammalia; Carnivora; Herpestidae.